UCAAUUCCGUAGUGCAUUGCAGUUGAUUUAAGGAAUUACUGCAAGCGCUGCAGAAUUGGCA
This 61-nucleotide microRNA precursor is filed under the name Drosophila mojavensis. RNAcentral describes it as "Dmo-Mir-932_pre stem-loop". It matches the Rfam family "mir-932 microRNA precursor family", at positions 8 to 67 of the family's 76-position model. The record is from RNAcentral. Lineage: Eukaryota; Metazoa; Arthropoda; Insecta; Diptera; Drosophilidae.